CAGUCGCCGCGGGAAUACGGAGGAUCCAAGCGUUAUCCGGAUUUAUUGGGUUUAAAGGGUGCGUAGGUGGCCUGUUAAGUCAGGGGUGAAAGACGGUAGCUCAACUAUCGCAGUGCCCUUGAUACUGAUGGGCUUGAAUGAACUAGAGGUAGGCGGAAUGUGACAAGUAGCGGUGAAAUGCAUAGAUAUGUCACAGAACACCAAUUGCGAAGGCAGCUUACUAUGGUUUGAUUGACACUGAGGCACGAAAGCGUGGGGAUCAAACAGGAUUAGAUACCCGCGUAGUACCUGUCUCUUAUAC
This 301-nucleotide ribosomal RNA is filed under the name uncultured bacterium. RNAcentral describes it as "partial 16S ribosomal RNA". It matches the Rfam family "Bacterial small subunit ribosomal RNA", at positions 509 to 807 of the family's 1533-position model. The record is from RNAcentral.